RNAcentral lists this long non-coding RNA (240 nucleotides) under Nicotiana benthamiana. RNAcentral describes it as "long non-coding RNA (NBEN_LNC023880)". Lineage: Eukaryota; Viridiplantae; Streptophyta; Magnoliopsida; Solanales; Solanaceae. The record is from RNAcentral.
GUUAAUGAGUCUCAAAAUUACGUAAGUUGAUAAAGUUUAUUUCAUGAUAUUGAUCAGAGGUAUAAUGGUCUUAUGACGUCCCAAAAGAUUUUAUUAACGUACUUCUCAUGCAUUGCAUUUAUUUACAUGUACAUUGACGCACGAUCAGAUGGUGUUAUAUACGCGUAUAUAUGUAUGCAUAUAUAUGUAUAUGAGAUAGGGAAAAAUGUUACGACGUUAUAUACGCACCACCACAUGAUC